GUGCUCAGUUCCACAGCACAUACACUAAAAUUGGAAUGAUAGAGAAGAUUCGCAUGGCCCUCUGUAAGAAUAAGACUCAAAUUUGUGAUGUGUACCAUACUUUU
Molecule: small nuclear RNA, 104 nt
Organism: Vulpes vulpes (red fox)
Lineage: Eukaryota; Metazoa; Chordata; Mammalia; Carnivora; Canidae
Source: Ensembl